GACGAACGCUGGCGGCGUGCUUAACACAUGCAAGUCUAACGGAAAGGCCCUGCUGUUGUGGGGUGCUCGAGUGACGAACGGAUGAGUAACACGUGAGUAACCUGCCCUUGACUUUGGGUUAACUUCAGGAAACUUGGGCUAAUACCAGAUAGGAACUCCUGCUGCAUGGUGGGAGUUGGAAGGUUUCGGCGGUUGGUGAUGGACUCGCGGCUUAUCAGCUGUUUGGUGGGGUAGUGGCUUACCAAGGCUUUGACGGGUAGCCGGCCUGAGAGGGUGACCGGCCACAUUGGGACGGAGAUACGGCCCAGACUCCUACGGGAGGCAGCAGUGGGGAAUAUUGCACAAUGGGCGGAAGCCUGAUGCAGCAACGCCGCGUGCGGGAUGACGGCCUUCGGGUUGUAAACCGCUUUCGCCUGUGACGAAGCGUGAGUGACGGUAAUGGGUAAAGAAGCACCGGCUAACUACGUG
RNAcentral lists this ribosomal RNA (468 nucleotides) under uncultured bacterium. Its description in RNAcentral is "partial 16S ribosomal RNA". It matches the Rfam family "Bacterial small subunit ribosomal RNA", at positions 28 to 507 of the family's 1533-position model. The record is from RNAcentral.